UACAAAGUGAUACUAUGCACCAUGUUGC
RNAcentral lists this non-coding RNA (28 nucleotides) under Mus musculus (house mouse). The record is from RNAcentral. Lineage: Eukaryota; Metazoa; Chordata; Mammalia; Rodentia; Muridae.